GGGUUGUGAGGUUAAGCGACUAAGCGUACACGGUGGAUGCCCUGGCAGUCAGAGGCGAUGAAGGGCGUGCUAAUCUGCGAUAAGCGCCGGUAAGGUGAUAUGAACCGUUAUAACCGGCGAUACCCGAAUGGGGAAACCCAGUGUGACUCGUCACACUAUCAUUAACUGAAUCCAUAGGUUAAUGAGGCGAACCGGGGUAACUGAAACAUCUAAGUACCCCGAGGAAAAGAAAUCAACCGAGAUUCCCCCAGUAGCGGCGAGCGAACGGGGAGGAGCCCAGAGCCUGAAUCAGCAUGUGUGUUAGUGGAAGCGUCUGGAAAGGCGCGCGAUACAGGGUGACAGCCCCGUACACAAAAGCGCAUGUGCUGUGAGCUCGAUGAGUAGGGCGGGACACGUGGUAUCCUGUCUGAAUAUGGGGGGACCAUCCUCCAAGGCUAAAUACUCCUGACUGACCGAUAGUGAACCAGUACCGUGAGGGAAAGGCGAAAAGAACCCCGGCGAGGGGAGUGAAAAAGAACCUGAAACCGUGUACGUACAAGCAGUGGGAGCCCCACCACCAAAGCAUUUGCUGUACCGCGUUGACGGAGCGAAGCGACGUCAAACCGAUAAAACAGCAGUGUAAAGUGAGCCGCAGGGCGCUUUGCGCGACAGCGCAAAGGCAGGCGGUUUCGCGUAGCGAAAGCGAAUGCUUUGGGGUGGGGUGACUGCGUACCUUUUGUAUAAUGGGUCAGCGACUUAUAUUCUGUAGCAAGGUUAACCGAAUAGGGGAGCCGGAGGGAAACCGAGUCUUAAUUGGGCGUUAAGUUGCAGGGUAUAGACCCGAAACCCGGUGAUCUAGCCAUGGGCAGGUUGAAGGUUGGGUAACACUAACUGGAGGACCGAACCGACUAAUGUUGAAAAAUUAGCGGAUGACCUGUGGCUGGGGGUGAAAGGCCAAUCAAACCGGGAGAUAGCUGGUUCUCCCCGAAAGCUAUUUAGGUAGCGCCUCGUGAAUUCAUCUCCGGGGGUAGAGCACUGUUUCGGCUAGGGGGCCAUCCCGGCUUACCAACCCGAUGCAAACUGCGAAUACCGGAGAAUGUUAUCACGGGAGACACACGGCGGGUGCUAACGUCCGUCGUGAAGAGGGAAACAACCCAGACCGCCAGCUAAGGUCCCAAAGUCAUGGUUAAGUGGGAAACGAUGUGGGAAGGCCCAGACAGCCAGGAUGUUGGCUUAGAAGCAGCCAUCAUUUAAAGAAAGCGUAAUAGCUCACUGGUCGAGUCGGCCUGCGCGGAAGAUGUAACGGGGCUAAACCAUGCACCGAAGCUGCGGCAGCGACACUGUGUGUUGUUGGGUAGGGGAGCGUUCUGUAAGCCUGUGAAGGUGUGUCGUGAGGCAUGCUGGAGGUAUCAGAAGUGCGAAUGCUGACAUAAGUAACGAUAAAGCGGGUGAAAAGCCCGCUCGCCGGAAGACCAAGGGUUCCUGUCCAACGUUAAUCGGGGCAGGGUGAGUCGACCCCUAAGGCGAGGCCGAAAGGCGUAGUCGAUGGGAAACGGGUUAAUAUUCCCGUACUUGGUGUUACUGCGAAGGGGGGACGGAGAAGGCUAUGUUGGCCGGGCGACGGUUGUCCCGGUUUAAGCGUGUAGGUGUGUGUUCCAGGUAAAUCCGGUUCACUUUAACACUGAGGCGUGACGACGAGGCACUACGGUGCUGAAGCAACAAAUGCCCUGCUUCCAGGAAAAGCCUCUAAGCAUCAGGUAACAUCAAAUCGUACCCCAAACCGACACAGGUGGUCAGGUAGAGAAUACCAAGGCGCUUGAGAGAACUCGGGUGAAGGAACUAGGCAAAAUGGUGCCGUAACUUCGGGAGAAGGCACGCUGACACGUAGGUGAAGUGAUUUACUCAUGGAGCUGAAGUCAGUCGAAGAUACCAGCUGGCUGCAACUGUUUAUUAAAAACACAGCACUGUGCAAACACGAAAGUGGACGUAUACGGUGUGACGCCUGCCCGGUGCCGGAAGGUUAAUUGAUGGGGUCAGCGCAAGCGAAGCUCCUGAUCGAAGCCCCGGUAAACGGCGGCCGUAACUAUAACGGUCCUAAGGUAGCGAAAUUCCUUGUCGGGUAAGUUCCGACCUGCACGAAUGGCGUAAUGAUGGCCAGGCUGUCUCCACCCGAGACUCAGUGAAAUUGAACUCGCUGUGAAGAUGCAGUGUACCCGCGGCAAGACGGAAAGACCCCGUGAACCUUUACUAUAGCUUGACACUGAACAUUGAGCCUUGAUGUGUAGGAUAGGUGGGAGGCUUUGAAGUGUGGACGCCAGUCUGCAUGGAGCCGACCUUGAAAUACCACCCUUUAAUGUUUGAUGUUCUAACGUGGACCCGUUACCCGGGUUGCGGACAGUGUCUGGUGGGUAGUUUGACUGGGGCGGUCUCCUCCUAAAGAGUAACGGAGGAGCACGAAGGUUGGCUAAUCCUGGUCGGACAUCAGGAGGUUAGUGCAAUGGCAUAAGCCAGCUUGACUGCGAGCGUGACGGCGCGAGCAGGUGCGAAAGCAGGUCAUAGUGAUCCGGUGGUUCUGAAUGGAAGGGCCAUCGCUCAACGGAUAAAAGGUACUCCGGGGAUAACAGGCUGAUACCGCCCAAGAGUUCAUAUCGACGGCGGUGUUUGGCACCUCGAUGUCGGCUCAUCACAUCCUGGGGCUGAAGUAGGUCCCAAGGGUAUGGCUGUUCGCCAUUUAAAGUGGUACGCGAGCUGGGUUUAGAACGUCGUGAGACAGUUCGGUCCCUAUCUGCCGUGGGCGCUGGAGAACUGAGGGGGGCUGCUCCUAGUACGAGAGGACCGGAGUGGACGCAUCACUGGUGUUCGGGUUGUCAUGCCAAUGGCACUGCCCGGUAGCUAAAUGCGGAAGAGAUAAGUGCUGAAAGCAUCUAAGCACGAAACUUGCCCCGAGAUGAGUUCUCCCUGAGACUUAGAGUCUCCUGAAGGAACGUUGAAGACGACGACGUUGAUAGGCCGGGUGUGUAAGCGCAGCGAUGCGUUGAGCUAACCGGUACUAAUGAACCGUGAGGCUUAACCUUACAACGCCGAAG
This 3065-nucleotide ribosomal RNA is filed under the name Salmonella enterica subsp. enterica serovar Enteritidis str. EC20110361. RNAcentral's name for it is "bacterial LSU rRNA". It matches the Rfam family "Bacterial large subunit ribosomal RNA". Lineage: Bacteria; Pseudomonadati; Pseudomonadota; Gammaproteobacteria; Enterobacterales; Enterobacteriaceae. The record is from RNAcentral.